This 68-nucleotide microRNA precursor is filed under the name Drosophila mojavensis. RNAcentral describes it as "Dmo-Mir-216-P1_pre stem-loop". It matches the Rfam family "mir-283 microRNA precursor family", at positions 19 to 84 of the family's 98-position model. The record is from RNAcentral. Lineage: Eukaryota; Metazoa; Arthropoda; Insecta; Diptera; Drosophilidae.
AAAUAUCAGCUGGUAAUUCUGGGAGCAAUGCCCAAUAUGAAACACUCGGAAUUUCAGUUGGUAUAUAC